UACGUAGGGUGCGAGCGUUGUCCGGAAUUAUUGGGCGUAAAGAGCCCGUAGGCGGUCUGUCGCGUCGAUCGUGAAAACUUGGGGCUUAACCCUGAGCUUGCGGUCGAUACGGGCAUGACUGGAGUUCGGCAGGGGAGACUGGAAUUCCUGGUGUAGCGGUGAAAUGCGCAGAUAUCAGGAGGAACACCGGUGGCGAAGGCGGGUCUCUGGGCCGAUACUGACGCUGAGGAGCGAAAGCAUGGGUAGCGAACAGG
RNAcentral lists this ribosomal RNA (254 nucleotides) under uncultured bacterium. RNAcentral describes it as "partial 16S ribosomal RNA". It matches the Rfam family "Bacterial small subunit ribosomal RNA", at positions 524 to 776 of the family's 1533-position model. The record is from RNAcentral.